This 1308-nucleotide long non-coding RNA is filed under the name Gouania willdenowi (blunt-snouted clingfish). Its description in RNAcentral is "lncRNA (ENSGWIG00000005005.1)". Lineage: Eukaryota; Metazoa; Chordata; Actinopteri; Blenniiformes; Gobiesocidae. The record is from RNAcentral.
CUUCAAGUGAAAAAGAACCUGGGCACCUCUGCUACACGCAUUAAUUACACACCUGAGAAAAGGCCGCCAUCACGUGAAUGCCGACCUCGUUCCCUGUUGUCACGUGCCGCCUUCUUGAGCCGGGUCACAUUUAUUGUGGCAACGGACGUCGCGCGUCUCCAUGGAGACCGGCCAGUGCGGGAAUGCCAGGCAGAGGACAAGCACACACUGCACAGCUGGAGACACGACCGUACGGACUCUCAGCGGGUGAAGAUGGGCUGUAGUUUGUCUAAGAAAACCCCGUUAGAAGUGAUUCACGGACCAGCGGAGGAGACCGAAGAACAGGAGGAGGCAGCAGAUAAACAUGGAGGUCGAGGUGACUCGGCCGUGUCGAAGGGCACCUCAGACAGUGGCGUGGUGAUGGACAACAAAGAGUGCAUGUUGCCUGGAGUCGUGCCCUUUCAGCUUCCUCCUUUGAUCUCUGAGAGUGUAGGGAAAAGACAGGCAACACAAACAGGUUUAAAGCAGGGUGGAAGUCCAGCACAGGAGCGUUUGAAGUCCAGUGAGAUCCUGGAGGAGCUCCUCAAUGAGGGCAUCAUCCCAGGACAGAGCACAUCAGGAGAGGCCACUGGCAUCAUGUUGAAUAACAGUGAAGAGAGCAGACGGAGGCCUCCUGCCAGACUGGAAUCUCUGAGCACCAAAAAUACUCAAAGUGUCCUCAACAGGGACGAGAUUGACCAGAAGAUGAGACAGGCAGAGUCAAGGGGGGACGAGCUCAAAACACAAGUAGAGUCUUCGGUUGCUCGUCGUCCUGCUCCUCCUGCUCCUCCUGCUCCUGCUGCUGAGGAGGAGGAUGAUGAUGCCUUCCUCACACCUGUGGAGCUGCUGCAGUCAACUCUCCCUGCUGACGCUGGCCCUGCUCUGCAGCUUCACAUCAACGCCAUACGUGAAGUUGCUGAGGGAGAAGGCAGCACGAGAGUUAUUGAUGAGAGCGAGUGUAGACCAGACAGUGGAGGAGCGGAGGAGACCACAGGAAGAGAGCAGCAAUGGAUGAGGAGGGGGGGUGGAAGUGAAGGUGAAGAGCGAGGGAGUCAAAGUGUUGUGAAGGAAGAUGACGAGGUCACGAAAGUGGAGGAGUUGAUGGUUGGUCAGCUAGUCACAGCUUUGGAGGAGCUGGAGAAUGAUUCCAGCUUUCAACAUGGUGAGGAACAAGAGGGAACAUUCUAAUUAAAGGAGCUGUUCAUUAGAACAGGUAAGGGUAUGUAAAAGGUAUAUAUUUGGCAUAAGUUAUGAAUGCAAAAACAUUUUAUCUAAUGACUAAUGGAAAAA